This 521-nucleotide ribosomal RNA is filed under the name uncultured bacterium. Its description in RNAcentral is "partial 16S ribosomal RNA". It matches the Rfam family "Bacterial small subunit ribosomal RNA", at positions 355 to 868 of the family's 1533-position model. The record is from RNAcentral.
UGGGGAAUUUUGGACAAUGGGCGCAAGCCUGAUCCAGCCAUGCCGCGUGCGGGAAGAAGGCCUUCGGGUUGUAAACCGCUUUUGUCAGGGAAGAAAUCUUCUGAGUUAAUACCUCGGGAGGAUGACGGUACCUGAAGAAUAAGCACCGGCUAACUACGUGCCAGCAGCCGCGGUAAUACGUAGGGUGCAAGCGUUAAUCGGAAUUACUGGGCGUAAAGCGUGCGCAGGCGGUUUUGUAAGACAGAGGUGAAAUCCCCGGGCUCAACCUGGGAACUGCCUUUGUGACUGCAAGGCUUGAGUGCGGCAGAGGGGGGAUGGAAUUCCGCGUGUAGCAGUGAAAUGCGUAGAUAUGCGGAGGAACACCGAUGGCGAAGGCAAUCCCCUGGGCCUGCACUGACGCUCAUGCACGAAAGCGUGGGGAGCAAACAGGAUUAGAUACCCUGGUAGUCCACGCCCUAAACGAUGUCAACUGGUUGUUGGGAAGGUUCCUUCUCAGUAACGUAGCUAACGCGUGAAGUUGA